RNAcentral lists this transfer-messenger RNA (364 nucleotides) under Cronobacter sakazakii. RNAcentral's name for it is "Standard tmRNA". It matches the Rfam family "transfer-messenger RNA". From Rfam's summary of the family: Bacterial tmRNA, also known as 10Sa RNA or SsrA, is named for its dual tRNA and mRNA-like properties. Its role is to liberate the mRNA from a stalled ribosome. Lineage: Bacteria; Pseudomonadati; Pseudomonadota; Gammaproteobacteria; Enterobacterales; Enterobacteriaceae. The record is from RNAcentral.
GGGGCUGAUUCUGGAUUCGACGGGAUUCGCGAAACCCAAGGUGCAUGCCGAGGGGCGGUUGGCCUCGUAAAAAGCCGCAAAAAAAUAGUCGCAAACGACGAAAACUACGCUUUAGCAGCUUAAUAACCUGCUUAGAGCCCUCUCUCCCUAGCCUCCGCUCUUAGGACGGGGAUCAAGAGAGGUCAAACCCAAAAGAGAUCGCGUGGAUGCCCUGCCUGGGGUUGAAGCGUUAAAACUAAUCAGGCUAGUCUGGUAGUGGCGUGUCCGUCCGUAGCUGCCAGGCGAAUGUAAAGACUGGACUAAGCAUGUAGUACCGAGGAUGUAGGAAUUUCGGACGCGGGUUCAACUCCCGCCAGCUCCACCA